GACGAACGCUGGCGGCGUGCUUAACACAUGCAAGUCGAACGGAAAGGCCCUGCUUUUGUGGGGUGCUCGAGUGGCGAACGGGUGAGUAACACGUGAGUAACCUGUCCUUGACUUUGGGAUAACUUCAGGAAACUGGGGCUAAUACCGGAUAGGAGCUCCUGCUGCAUGGUGGGGGUUGGAAAGUUUCGGCGGUUGGGGAUGGACUCGCGGCUUAUCAGCUUGUUGGUGGGGUAGUGGCUUAUCAAGGCUUUGACGGGUAGCCGGCCUGAGAGGGUGACUGGCCACAUUGGGACUGAGAUACGGCCCAGACUCCUACGGGAGGCAGCAGUGGGGAAUAUUGCACAAUGGGCGGAAGCCUGAUGCAGCAACGCCGCGUGCGGGAUGACGGCCUUCGGGUUGUAAACCGCUUUCGCCUGUGACGAAGCGUGAGUGACGGUAAUGGGUAAAGAAGCACCGGCUAACUACGUG
Molecule: ribosomal RNA, 468 nt
Filed under: uncultured bacterium
Lineage: Bacteria
Description: partial 16S ribosomal RNA
Rfam family: Bacterial small subunit ribosomal RNA
Source: RNAcentral